AUCUCUGCAUUUUUAUACCACACCACCAGCGUUCAUUGACGAAUGUGUUGAAGUUUUUGUUUUGAAUCUUCUGGAAGAGGAAGACAUUCUCUUCCCGAAAGGAGAAGUUAUCUUCUGGAAGCUUCUGUUUGGCCGGAUAGAGGGGGCUAA
Long non-coding RNA from Lethenteron reissneri (Far Eastern brook lamprey), 150 nucleotides. RefSeq lists it as uncharacterized. Lineage: Eukaryota; Metazoa; Chordata; Hyperoartia; Petromyzontiformes; Petromyzontidae. The record is from RefSeq and is a predicted model, not a curated record.